RNAcentral lists this ribosomal RNA (253 nucleotides) under uncultured bacterium. Its description in RNAcentral is "partial 16S ribosomal RNA". It matches the Rfam family "Bacterial small subunit ribosomal RNA", at positions 524 to 776 of the family's 1533-position model. The record is from RNAcentral.
UACGUAGGGUGCAGGCGUUAAUCGGAAUUACUGGGCGUAAAGCGUGCGCAGGCGGUUUCUUAAGUCAGAUGUGAAAGCCCCGGGCUUAACCUGGGAACUGCGUUUGAAACUGGGAGACUUGAGUGUGGCAGAGGGGGGUGGAAUUCCACGUGUAGCAGUGAAAUGCGUAGAGAUGCGGAGGAACACCGAUGGCGAAGGCAGCCCCCUGGGCCAACACUGACGCUCAGGCACGAAAGCGUGGGGAGCAAACAGG